UACGGGGGAUCCAAGCGUUAUCCGGAAUUACUGGGCGUAAAGAGUUGCGUAGGUGGCAUGGCAAGCAAAUAGUGAAAUCGGGCGGCUCAACCGCUCUUCCAUUAUUUGAACUGCCAAGCUAGAAGACGAGAGAGGUACCUGGAAUUCCCAGUGUAGGAGUGAAAUCCGUAGAUAUUGGGAGGAACACCGAUGGCGUAAGCAGGGUACUAGCUUGUUCUUGACACUAAGGCACGAAAGCGUGGGGAGCGAACGGG
This 254-nucleotide ribosomal RNA is filed under the name uncultured bacterium. RNAcentral's name for it is "partial 16S ribosomal RNA". It matches the Rfam family "Bacterial small subunit ribosomal RNA", at positions 524 to 776 of the family's 1533-position model. The record is from RNAcentral.